UACGGAGGGUGCAAGCGUUAUCCGGAUUUACUGGGUUUAAAGGGUGCGUAGGUGGACAGGUAAGUCAGUGGUGAAAUCCCCGGGCUUAACCCGGGAACUGCCAUUGAUACUAUCUGUCUUGAAUAUCCUGGAGGUGAGCGGAAUAUGUCAUGUAGCGGUGAAAUGCUUAGAUAUGACAUAGAACACCCAUUGCGAAGGCAGCUCACUACGGGAUCAUUGACACUGAGGCACGAAAGCGUGGGUAGCAAACAGG
This 253-nucleotide ribosomal RNA is filed under the name uncultured bacterium. RNAcentral describes it as "partial 16S ribosomal RNA". It matches the Rfam family "Bacterial small subunit ribosomal RNA", at positions 524 to 776 of the family's 1533-position model. The record is from RNAcentral.